AGAGUUUGAUCCUGGCUCAGGACGAACGCUGACGGUGUGCUUUAGACAUGCAAGUCGAACGAGAAAGCCCUUCGGGGUUAGUACAGUGGCGAACGGGUGAGUAACACGUGGGCAAUCUGCCCCUCGUUGGGGGACAACCGGAGGAAACUCCGGCUAAUACCCCAUACGCUUGCGGAGCCGCAUGGUUCCGUAAGGAAAGGUAGCUUCGGCCAUCCGGCGAGGGAUGAGCCCGCGGUACAUUAGCUAGUUGGUGGGGUAACGGCCCACCAAGGCGACGAUGUAUAGUUGGUCUGAGAGGAUGAUCAGCCACACUGGGACUGAGACACGGCCCAGACUCCUACGGGAGGCAGCAGUCGGGAAUCUUGCGCAAUGGGCGAAAGCCUGACGCAGCAACACCGUGUGAGCGACGAAGGCCUUCGGGUCGUAAAGCUCUGUUGUUGGGGACGAAGGGCGAGGGGUUAAUAGCCCUGAGCUUGACGGUACCCUUCGAGGAAGCCCCGGCUAACUACGUGCCAGCAGCCGCGGUAAUACGUAGGGGGCGAGCGUUGUGCGGAAUUAUUGGGCGUAGAGAGCGUGUAGGCGGUUCGGUAAGUCUGUCGUGAAACCCAGGGCUCAGCCCUGGGCGUGCAGUGGAUACUGCCUGGGCUAGAAGGGUAGUAGAANGGUGAGUUUGAAAUUNCCUCGGGUGUUAAGCCGGGUGAAAAAUUGCCGCAUAGAAUAUUCCGGGGGAAGGGAACCCACCCAGUUAGCCGAAAAGGCGGGCUUCGCCUGGGGCCACAACCUGACGCCGAGACUCGAAA
This 800-nucleotide ribosomal RNA is filed under the name uncultured bacterium. Its description in RNAcentral is "bacterial SSU rRNA". It matches the Rfam family "Bacterial small subunit ribosomal RNA", at positions 8 to 758 of the family's 1533-position model. The record is from RNAcentral.